Long non-coding RNA from Solanum dulcamara, 641 nucleotides. RefSeq lists it as uncharacterized. The transcript is spliced from 2 exons. NCBI's taxonomy places the organism in Eukaryota, Viridiplantae, Streptophyta, Magnoliopsida, Solanales, Solanaceae. The record is from RefSeq and is a predicted model, not a curated record.
CACAGUGACACUGAUCUUCCUUCUAUAAAAUCUUUUCUCCAUUGGACAUUUCUUCUCCAACACAUUCCCCGCCCCAUACUAUUUUCACUUCUUCUUCUCCACCUUUCCUCUUCAUCACACCCAGAAACAACAACUACUCUACCAGUGAGCUUGAAGCUUGCCAACCACCUAAAAGAAAUCCAAGUUCCAUCACACUCCGAGUUCCACAGAAUCAGUCGUCCGUCACGCACACGAUGCAAACUCCGGCGAGGAGCUUCAAGCUCCAAUGAACCGGAACAAAAAAAAUAAAAAAAUAAAAAACGUACAGUCCUCACUAGCUCUCAAGUCACAAACAACAACUCCGGCGAGGAGCACAAACCAAUAACCCGAUCUAUCCGGAGUUGGGACUUAUCCAUUCUCACCAAAGAAAACUAAAGCUCCAAAGAUCUAUCAUAGUAUGGGUUAUCACCGUCGAUUUUGACUGGUGCGAAGCAACUGUUGAUUCGGAGAUUUGUGAGCUCCGGACGUCCGGAGUUGCCGAUUUUCAUCUAUGUCAGAUUAAGAUCAGUCUUUACUUUCUUCUAAAGACUGUUUGUACUUAUAUUUGUAUCUGUAAAACCCUUGUAUUUGUAUUUUGAUUUAGAUGCUCGAUUACUAACUGA